AGCUCCCUGGUAUAGCGGUCUAAUACGGACUGAUUCUAUUAAGGUGUUAUCUAAGGUUCCGAGUUCGAUUCCCGAUGGGAGCUA
Molecule: transfer RNA, 84 nt
Filed under: Backusella circina FSU 941
Lineage: Eukaryota; Fungi; Mucoromycota; Mucoromycetes; Mucorales; Backusellaceae
Description: tRNA-Ile
Source: RNAcentral